AUUGAACGCUGGCGGCAGGCCUAACACAUGCAAGUCGAGCGGAUGAAGGGAGCUUGCUCCUGGAUUCAGCGGCGGACGGGUGAGUAAUGCCUAGGAAUCUGCCUGGUAGUGGGGGAUAACGUCCGGAAACGGGCGCUAAUACCGCAUACGUCCUGAGGGAGAAAGUGGGGGAUCUUCGGACCUCACGCUAUCAGAUGAGCCUAGGUCGGAUUAGCUAGUUGGUGGGGUAAAGGCCUACCAAGGCGACGAUCCGUAACUGGUCUGAGAGGAUGAUCAGUCACACUGGAACUGAGACACGGUCCAGACUCCUACGGGAGGCAGCAGGGGGGAAUAUUGGACAAUGGGCGAAAGCCUGAUCCAGCCAUGCCGCGUGUGUGAAGAAGGUCUUCGGAUUGUAAAGCACUUUAAGUUGGGAGGAAGGGCAGUAAGUUAAUACCUGGCUGUUUGGACGUUACCAACAGAAUAAGCACCGGCUAACUUCGU
RNAcentral lists this ribosomal RNA (483 nucleotides) under uncultured bacterium. Its description in RNAcentral is "partial 16S ribosomal RNA". It matches the Rfam family "Bacterial small subunit ribosomal RNA", at positions 30 to 506 of the family's 1533-position model. The record is from RNAcentral.